Molecule: ribosomal RNA, 460 nt
Filed under: uncultured Treponema sp.
Lineage: Bacteria; Pseudomonadati; Spirochaetota; Spirochaetia; Treponematales; Treponemataceae
Description: partial 16S ribosomal RNA
Rfam family: Bacterial small subunit ribosomal RNA
Source: RNAcentral
ACGGGAGGCAGCAGCUAAGAAUAUUCCGCAAUGCACGAAAGUGUGACGGAGCGACGCCGCGUGGAUGAUGAAGGCCGGAAGGUUGUAAAAUCCUUUUAUAACUGAAGAAUAAGCAUUGUGAGAGAAACGCAGUGUGGUGACGGUAGGUUAUGAAUAAGCAACGGCUAAUUACGUGCCAGCAGCCGCGGUAACACGUAAGUUGCGAGCGUUGUUCGGAAUUAUUGGGCGUAAAGGGCAUGUAGGCGGUUUUGCAAGCUUGGUGUGAAAGGCAGGAGCUUAACUCCUGGACUGCGUUGAGAACUGCAAGACUAGAGUCACUGAGGGGCAAUCAGAAUUCCAGGUGUAGGGGUGAAAUCUGUAGAUAUCUGGAAGAAUACCAAUGGCGAAGGCAGGUUACCAGCAGAUGACUGACGCUGAGGUGCGAAGGUGCGGGGAGCAAACAGGAUUAGAUACCCUGGUA